RNAcentral lists this ribosomal RNA (253 nucleotides) under uncultured bacterium. Its description in RNAcentral is "partial 16S ribosomal RNA". It matches the Rfam family "Bacterial small subunit ribosomal RNA", at positions 524 to 776 of the family's 1533-position model. The record is from RNAcentral.
UACAUGGGGUGCAAACGUUGUUCGGAAUUACUGGGCGUAAAGCGCGUGUAGGCGGUUGUCAAAGUCGGGUGUGAAAGCCUUGAGCUUAACUCAAGAAAUGCACUCGAUACUUGGUGACUAGAGGACCGGAGAGGAUAGUGGAAUUCCCAGUGUAGUGGUGAAAUACGUAGAGAUUGGGAAGAACACCAGUGGCGAAGGCGGCUAUCUGGACGGUUUCUGACGCUAAGACGCGAAAGCGUGGGGAGCAAACAGG